CCUACGGGUGGCUGCAGUGGGGAAUAUUGGACAAUGGGGGGAACCCUGAUCCAGCGACGCCGCGUGAGUGAAGAAGUAUUUCGGUAUGUAAAGCUCUAUCAGCAGGGAAGAAAGAAAUGACGGUACCUCUUGAAUAAGCCACGGCUAACUACGUGCCAGCAGCCGCGGUAAUACGUAGGUGGCAAGCGUUGUCCGGAUUUACUGGGUGUAAAGGGCGUGCAGCCGGGCUUACAAGUCAGAUGUGAAAACCCGGGGCCCAACCCCGGGAGUGCAUUUGAAACUGCCAUGCUGGAGUGCCGGAGAGGUAAGCGGAAUUCCUAGUGUAGCGGUGAAAUGCGUAGAUAUUAGGAGGAACACCAGUGGCGGAGGCGGCUUACUGGACGGUAACUGACGCUGAGGCUCGAAAGCGUGGGGAGCAAACAGGAUUAGAUACCCCG
Molecule: ribosomal RNA, 437 nt
Filed under: uncultured bacterium
Lineage: Bacteria
Description: bacterial SSU rRNA
Rfam family: Bacterial small subunit ribosomal RNA
Source: RNAcentral